UAUGAAGACAACCUAGAAAAGAUGUUGAAGAGAGCCAAGCUAGAUGCCUCCUUGCAUUUUUGCUAAUGUGUGUUGCCUCUAGAAAGGUACCUAUCCUAUAGAAUAUUCCAGCCAGAAGGUUUUGCUGACUUGAACUGAGGAAGAUCAGUUAUUACUCAGAAGCCAUUUUGUUCACAUGAAGGUUAAGCAAACAGCAAAUCAGACAGAUUUUUAUACUCUGUGAUCCAUGGAGUCAUCCGAUAAAGAAGCAAAAAAUAAUAUAACCUGAGAUAUAAGUCAUCUCAUAAGGAAGCAGAAAUAAUAUUAUAAUUUAGGCAGUUGAUGAUCUAGCUUUGAUUAAUCAGCAGUUAGU
Lagopus leucura (white-tailed ptarmigan) is the source of this 352-nucleotide long non-coding RNA. RefSeq lists it as uncharacterized. The record is from RefSeq and is a predicted model, not a curated record. The transcript has 3 exons. NCBI's taxonomy places the organism in Eukaryota, Metazoa, Chordata, Aves, Galliformes, Phasianidae.